UUUGGCGAAUAACGUGCUUACUUAAAUUUGUUUAUUUGUCGAUACGGCUGACGCACAAGUGGACGUAAAUAUGAUUUAAGAUGUGUUCACAAACAUCGGUUUUACAGUAAACACACAUAAACUGUGAUCGUACUACAGCGGCUCACUGGCGCUCCCAAAAAUACCACAGAAAAAGUACUGAAAAAUCCAGCAGCUAAGAGCUGCUGAGCUGGUUUUAGCUGGUAGUGCUGGUAUAGCAAGCUGUUCUAGCUGUGUUUAGCUGGUCAGGCUGGAGGACCAGCUGACAUCAGCUUGACCAGCUUUGCAAGGCUGGGAGAACCACCUUAAACCAGCUACUGCUGCCUUAAACCAGCUAGUUUAUGCUGGUCUUAGCAUGUAUUUUUUAGUAGGGAAGUUAAAGUUCAGACCAUUUUUUACCCGGUAUGAGUCCAAGCAUGGUCCGAGGAGACUAACAGACCUCUUCAAGAUAAACUUACCAGAAGUUAGUUAAAUUAAAGCUCUCCGUCUUCUCAUAUCAAGUCUGAGUUUGGAGAACAUCUGAUCAGAGAUCAUUCAUCCACACCCAACAAAUCCACAGGUCCUCUUCUCAGGUCAAGUGUUCCAGGGCACGAGUGUUGGUUUCUCCCAAAGCUUUGUCCGGACCUCUGAUCUGAUCAUGAAUCAGUUCAUGAAUCACAUCUUUUUGGGAAAACAUUUAAGAAGAAGUUCAAAUUCUUGCCCGUGGACAAACUAGGACAUUAUAUCAUCAUUGUUUUUAAAGGAAGGUUUCUGCUACUCUCAUUUCCUUCUCUGCACAGCCCGACGCGUCACUGGAUCAUCAGCAGACUUCUGCAUUCAUACACGAAGAUCAGACAUUCAACACCAUGAUAAAACAACAUCAAUCUAGGCCGUUUUACACAAACAGUAUACGUCAGAUGAAGUACAAUUCAGCAGCUCUCCAACACAACUCGGGGACUGAAUAUUCGCUUCUGCAAACAGACAAUCGGGCGUGUUCAGGGAGAAAUAAGAAGUGUUUUCUCCUGUUAUUAACAUCUUUGGGUUUAGAAGUUAAACACUGGUUAGUUAAAGCUCAGGUACUGGUUAAAGUGGAACGAGAAGAAGACCCACCUUGCU
Long non-coding RNA from Paramisgurnus dabryanus, 1113 nucleotides. RefSeq lists it as uncharacterized. The record is from RefSeq and is a predicted model, not a curated record. Lineage: Eukaryota; Metazoa; Chordata; Actinopteri; Cypriniformes; Cobitidae.